UGGCAACCUCGCCCCUCUCCCUCCCAUUCGGAGCCAGGCGGGGGGUGCACCAUGCGCUAAUAGCGACCCUGUUAAUUGCUUCCAAAUGGUCAACUGUAGUCAUUUGACUAAUUGGUCUCUUCCAGAGCCCAGGCUGGACACCCCAGGCCCAGCAGAAGUGCUCCUACCAGCAUCCCCCGAACCUCUGCACUGGGACCCUGUCCCCCAGAGCACCCCCAGCCCUAUCUGGUACCUGAGUCUGCCCCUAGCCUCUUCCCCUGGAGAGAGAGCUGGGGUGGAGAGAGGGCAGAGAACAGGGUCCUAUGGUGUGGCCGCAGGUGGCUGGCCAGGGACUGUCAGAUGUGAUGCUGACUCCCAGCCCCAAACUCACUCUAAUUAUGUUGCCUGCCCCCCCAUCCUCUUACCCCAUCCUUGUCCCCAAGAGCAGUGGGAGAGAGACCCAGCCUGCCUGUGUCACUGGGAGACCAUGGGUCCCUGAAAUUCUGGGAGCAGCCCUGAUCAGCCCCACAUUACAGAUGAGAAAGGGAGGCUCAGAGAGGUGAAGUGACUUGCCCGGGGUCACACAGCCAGGAGAUGAGGCGAGAAGACUGGAAUGCCCCUUCUGGCUACGGGACCCAGGACCCGAGCAGUGGGGAGAGGGAAACCAUUGCCCCUCUAAGUCCCUCUGGGGCAAAGCUGGCACUUUGCUUCUGGCAAAGUUAGGAGCCCCCGCAGGCAGGGGUGGGAUGGAAGGCACAUCUCCCCGCAGUGGGGCCUGCGCAGCACUUUGAGGCUCAUCCACGGUGUGGCGUGUGCCAGUGUGUCCUCCCCUUUUCUGCCCUAGUGGCAUUCCGUCGUGUGCACAGACCACAUGCUGUUUAUUUUUCAUCCAUGGAUGGAUGUUCGCCUUAUUUCCUGGCUACUUGGCUAUUUUGGAGCCCCAAGCUGAGACAUAAAGGAGGAUUCUCUCUGGGUAGAGGAGAGGAGGGAGCAGAGGGCCCCCUGGCCCAGGGACAGACACCUCCAGCUGCUCUUUUUCUUCCCCACAACACCGAGGGCAGCCUGUGCCUGUCAGUGCCUGGCAUCGGGCUCCAGGCAGAGCAGCCAACAGGGCUUGUAGAUGCCAUCUUCUCCCUGUGUCCUCACAGGUUCGUCCCUCUGUGUGUGCCUGUGUCCUCAUUACCUCUUCUUAUAAGGACCCCAGUCAGAUUGGACUGGGGCCAUUCCACAGACCUCGCUUUACUUUAAUCGCCUUUGAAAGACCCUAGCUCCAAUUGCAGCCACAUUCUGAGGUCCUAGUGAGUAGGGUUCCAACAUACAAAUCUUGGGGGACACAGUUCCGCCCAAAACAAGUGCAAAUGAUGAGGUACACCCCCAGUCCUGUGGAUGAGGUGGGGUGGAGGGAAGGGAAGAAAUUCACAUCCCCACCUCCUCCCACCAUGAAGUCAACUGCAGCUGGGCGAGGCCAGGCUUGAUGGGGAGCUGUGGCAGCUUUGAUGGGGAGCUGUGGUGGCAAACCCACACUCAAGCAAUCACCCUGUGUCCCUGCCUUGCACCCCCCUACCCCUCUCCACCCUUUGCCCAGGCCAGUCCCUCCACCUGGGGGCCCUUUCACCCUUUCCAUCUAGAAGCUCCUGCCAUUCCUGCAGACCUGGCCCCGGCCCCUGGAGGGGCCCACACCCCAGGCAGAGCGAGUCUCUUCCUCUGGCCUCCCUGGCCUUUGCUCCUUCCAUGCUGCCCUGAUACCUAGGCCUGUUUCUCGUCAGCAGCAGCUCAGGCAGGGCAGCUUGCUCUAGAGGGCAGGCAGGCUUUGUUUACCUCUCCCCUGUGCUGACCUGUGCGAGAUGUGGCCAGGACACUUGGACAGUGGGCAGGAGGCAGGGAUGGUGAGGUGGGGAUAGAGGGAGGAGUGCCGGGCUACCCACUCCCAGUCUAGGAUGUUCCUCCUCCACACCUGCAUGUUCUGUGUUCUCCUUAAACCAUCACGGUGCUGCUUUGAGGCUCCUGUGUCUGCUAGGAAAAAGGGGCUGCGCUGCUGGGGCCUUCAUUCAGCCGCCUACAACUGGGGGAGGCUGAGGAGUGCUACAAAUACAAUCACAGGAGCCAGCAUCGAUGGACUGAUGGGCCCUGGUAUGCAUGGUCUAUCUUGGGGGUGGUGGCACAUGGGUCCAGGACCACCCAGAUUCCAUUUUCUGCUCUAUUCCUUACCCUGCAUAAGCGCUCCUACAGCUGUCAGCCUCUGAUAUCAAUUCCAAGUUACUGGAUUUUUUUUGAGGCCGGGUCUCACUCUGUCAUCCAGGGUGGAGUGCAGUGGCUAGAGUUUGGCUCACUACAACCUCCACCUCCCAGGCUCAAGUGAUCCUCCUGCCUCAGCCUCCCAAGUAGCUGAGACUACAGGCAUGUGCCACCAUAUCCAGCUGAUUUUUGUAUUUUUUGUAGAGAUGGGGUCUCACUAUGUUUCCCAGACUGGUCUCAAACUCCUGAGCUCAAGCGAUCCUCCCAUCUCAGCCUCCCAAAGCACUAGGACAACCAGCAUGAGCCACUGUGCCCAACCCCUAUUCUAAGUUUAAAGGACAAGCAGGACUUUUUCUCAAGUCCCAGAGUAGCGCACCCCAGUCCCAACACCAGGACUGAGCGUGCACCCCACUUCUAGCAUCAGGACUGAGCGUGCUCUGACCUGUUUCCCUGAGCUGAGGAAGGGGCCGAAGAGCUGAGAUAACUCCCAAGAAAUUUCCAGGGAGGGAUUUUCUGGGGCCAAGUCCUGGCCUGGCCCGGCCGGGCCUGUGUGAGCUCAGGGUCCUGCAGCCCCGGUGACUGGCCAUCAAUGCCCAAGCUGCAGGGACUCUCGAGGAAGUCCGAAAGACGCCACUGCCUCUCUACAGGCUGUUCUCAGGUGGCCAGGAGGACUGCAUCGCAGAGGCGGCGGGCAGUGCCUGGGGACCAGCUUCCUGCCUCUGGCUCUGACUCAGACCUGGUGGCCUUGCCCAGCCCAGCCCCACCCUCUCACUAAAUCAAAGCCAUGCCCUUCAGAUGUGGUUUCCCAAGCCUCCCUUGGUUUCAUGACUGCGAGGGACCUUCUGCAGCCACCUGGGCUGACUUCCAGAGGCUGGCACCAGGGACUCGAUUGUCACUGAGUAAGCUGUAUGCAGCCCCUGUGCCCACCAUGGCAAGACCCCUGCCGUCACCCACCUGACGGCUGCCCUGGCCCUGCCUCAGGAGGCUCCCUCGCCUCCAGCCACAUGGGGAGUCUAUAAAGAAAUAUGCACAAGCAGCAUCAUUCAGCAGGAUUUCAGACCAGAAAGAACCCUCCCGUCAGAGACUGGUGGCCAUACAAGGGUGCGCUGUGAAGCUUUCGAGACAGCAGACAGCCGGAGUCGUGAUCAGGGUGGCCAGGAAGGGAAACAACACGGUAGCAACCAGAGUGCCCUCCCAUGUGGAUUCCUUUGGUGACGAAUAAGCCAGUUGGUGUGCAGGGUGUUCACUGCAAGGCCCAGACAGGACUACAAGAGACCAGGACUGUCCUCAGUAUGUGAUCUCUCUCUCCUCUGGCGUCAGCUCUACCCAGGAACGGAUGUGAAGGCUGAAGCCCAGGCAAGGGCUCAUAGUGUGGGGACCGUGCAGCUGGAUUCAUGUCCAGUGGAAUUUGACACCAUGGCCGUCAUCAUCAUGUUUUGCCGUCAUCAGCACAGACCUCUGAGCAGAAAUGCCAGAACAAUGUGGGGCCACCCUGGAGAUUUAUUUUAUUUAUUUUUUAAAUUAAAUUAAAAUUGUUUUUAAGAGACGGGGUCUUGCUAUGUUGCACAGGUUGAUCUUGAACUUCUGGGCUCAAGCAAUCCUCCUGUCUUGGCCUCAGAGUGUUGGGAUUACAGACCUAAGCCACCGCGCCCGGCCUGGAGAUGUAUUUUAAACUGACAUCUUGGGAGAAAUAAAAGCCUUCCUUUUCCCUGUGUGUCGGUAGCGUAAGUAGUGAACUGGGAAGGAUUUCUCGGGGCCCCUGCCCUGAGCUCCUAGACCUUCUCUCCCACGCCAUGUUACACAACAAAAUCUGACUCUGAAAGAUCAAUUGGGUCCAGCUUGGGGUCUGAUGGGCAGACGGGCUUAAGCAAAGCCCCCACUUGACUUCAAGAGAGGAGCUUGGGGCCCACAUAGACAUCGAGGCCUGCACAACGUAGCUAAUUGGCCCUAACAUUUUUCUUUCUUGAAUUUUAAAUCCUUUUAGCAACAGAUUAUACAACAAAGGCUGAACUCAUUGGGGCCGUCAUUAGGCUGGCGGAAAACGCUGGCUUGGCUGUUCCUUGGCGAAUCUCCUUACCGGGUUAUUUAGAGGUGCCGUGUGUCUCUCUUGGGGACAUGCACACAAAUGUAAAGAAUGUCUCUGAGCCACAAUGACAUUUUCAUUAGCCGUGGCUCACAGAGGAGCCUUUCCUGGCAGUUCCAAUCCGGAAGGUUCUUAUCCUGCUCUCUGGCUUUCUUGCUCUGGGUGAAAGGCAGGCACCGUAAUCCAAGCCAAACACCCCGACCUUUGACCCCCACAUGGUGCUUGCUGUCAGGGUGGGGGUUCUUCUGGGGUGCAUGUCUGAGGCCUGACUGGGCUGCACACUGUCCCAGAGUGCCCUGCCUUUGGCCAGGACAAUUCACCUCAGCCCCUUUUGUCCCAACAGCUUUUGAUCUUGCCUGCCUGUCACCCAGGGAAAGAGCCUGCCUAGGCCCUGUCCCACACCUGCCUGCAAACUGACAGCCAUGGCUCCCCCAGCCCCACUGCAGCAGCCUUAACCCUUUCUCUGCCUGACCUGCAGGGCCUGCACCUACCUGUCUCCAGGGUGCUGGGGCCUCAGGCUUUGGCCAAACCAGAACAGGACUAGAAAAGAAUUCUUCUGAGGGUCCAAGGCCUCGUCCUACCGCCCCUACUGUGAGUGUGGGACUGACAAAGGAGUUUGGAGAGCAUGAGUCCCCUAGAAUGGAGCUCCCAGGAAAAGCCAAAGAGAAAGCCCCAGGCCACUGGGCCUGGACUUCGCCCCACGGCAAGGUCCCCGCCCACUGGCUAGGCAGGUGCUUUUGUGAAACUGACAUUUUCUCAGCUGCACCUCUACCGCUGCUGAUGAGCUUUUCAAUACACUCUUUCUUGUAUUGAGACAGAGCCAUGUUUUCAUAACUUGGCACUACAGCAAAGAAAGACAUGGGGUCCUUGCUGCUCAGUCCUGGUGCCCGGCCCAGUGUCUGGGGUGCCCACCUUGCCCAGCGUGUGCUGGGCAUGCAGGGGCACUUCCCUAGGGCCAAAACCUGGGAGCUUUCCUCCAGGCCAAGACGCAAGUCUCUUUGUUUUUACGGUAGCUUUGUUGAAAUGUAAUUUACAUACCAUGAAAUUCACCCGUUGAAGGCAUGCAAUUUAGAAGGUUUUAUUCAUAGAGUUGUAUGAAUUCUCUAUUUCCCAAGGCCAUUUUUUUAAAUAUAAGGGUAAUCUAUGUUCACUGUGGAAAAUACAAACAAUUCAGAAAAUAUACCAUGAAAAGUGCACAUCCUGUUAAUCCAUUUAUUCAGAAACUGUUUCUUUUUUUCUUCUUUCUUUCUUUUUUUUUUUUUUUUUUGAGACAGAGUCUCAAUCUUGUCGCCCAGGCUAAAGUGCAAUGGUGUGAUCUCACUGCAGCCUCCACCUCC
Molecule: long non-coding RNA, 5634 nt
Filed under: Homo sapiens (human)
Lineage: Eukaryota; Metazoa; Chordata; Mammalia; Primates; Hominidae
Description: long non-coding RNA NONHSAT159351.1
Source: RNAcentral